Molecule: ribosomal RNA, 2826 nt
Filed under: Shigella flexneri
Lineage: Bacteria; Pseudomonadati; Pseudomonadota; Gammaproteobacteria; Enterobacterales; Enterobacteriaceae
Description: partial 23S ribosomal RNA
Rfam family: Bacterial large subunit ribosomal RNA
Source: RNAcentral
GGUUAAGCGACUAAGCGUACACGGUGGAUGCCCUGGCAGUCAGAGGCGAUGAAGGACGUGCUAAUCUGCGAUAAGCGUCGGUAAGGUGAUAUGAACCGUUAUAACCGGCGAUUUCCGAAUGGGGAAACCCAGUGUGAUUCGUCACACUAUCAUUAACUGAAUCCAUAGGUUAAUGAGGCGAACCGGGGGAACUGAAACAUCUAAGUACCCCGAGGAAAAGAAAUCAACCGAGAUUCCCCCAGUAGCGGCGAGCGAACGGGGAGCAGCCCAGAGCCUGAAUCAGUGUGUGUGUUAGUGGAAGCGUCUGGAAAGGCGUGCGAUACAGGGUGACAGCCCCGUACACAAAAAUGCACAUACUGUGAGCUCGAUGAGUAGGGCGGGACACGUGGUAUCCUGUCUGAAUAUGGGGGGACCAUCCUCCAAGGCUAAAUACUCCUGACUGACCGAUAGUGAACCAGUACCGUGAGGGAAAGGCGAAAAGAACCCCGGCGAGGGGAGUGAAAAAGAACCUGAAACCGUGUACGUACAAGCAGUGGGAGCACGCUUAGGCGUGUGACUGCGUACCUUUUGUAUAAUGGGUCAGCGACUUAUAUUCUGUAGCAAGGUUAACCGAAUAGGGGAGCCGAAGGGAAACCGAGUCUUAACUGGGCGUUAAGUUGCAGGGUAUAGACCCGAAACCCGGUGAUCUAGCCAUGGGCAGGUUGAAGGUUGGGUAACACUAACUGGAGGACCGAACCGACUAAUGUUGAAAAAUUAGCGGAUGACUUGUGGCUGGGGGUGAAAGGCCAAUCAAACCGGGAGAUAGCUGGUUCUCCCCGAAAGCUAUUUAGGUAGCGCCUCGUGAAUUCAUCUCCGGGGGUAGAGCACUGUUUCGGCAAGGGGGUCAUCCCGACUUACCAACCCGAUGCAAACUGCGAAUACCGGAGAAUGUUAUCACGGGAGACACACGGCGGGUGCUAACGUCCGUCGUGAAGAGGGAAACAACCCAGACCGCCAGCUAAGGUCCCAAAGUCAUGGUUAAGUGGGAAACGAUGUGGGAAGGCCCAGACAGCCAGGAUGUUGGCUUAGAAGCAGCCAUCAUUUAAAGAAAGCGUAAUAGCUCACUGGUCGAGUCGGCCUGCGCGGAAGAUGUAACGGGGCUAAACCAUGCACCGAAGCUGCGGCAGCGACGCUUAUGCGUUGUUGGGUAGGGGAGCGUUCUGUAAGCCUGUGAAGGUGUGCUGUGAGGUAUGCUGGAGGUAUCAGAAGUGCGAAUGCUGACAUAAGUAACGAUAAAGCGGGUGAAAAGCCCGCUCGCCGGAAGACCAAGGGUUCCUGUCCAACGUUAAUCGGGGCAGGGUGAGUCGACCCCUAAGGCGAGGCCGAAAGGCGUAGUCGAUGGGAAACAGGUUAAUAUUCCUGUACUUGGUGUUACUGCGAAGGGGGGACGGAGAAGGCUAUGUUGGCCGGGCGACGGUUGUCCCGGUUUAAGCGUGUAGGCUGGUUUUCCAGGCAAAUCCGGAAAAUCAAGGCCGAGGCGUGAUGACGAGGCACUACGGUGCUGAAGCAACAAAUGCCCUGCUUCCAGGAAAAGCCUCUAAGCAUCAGGUAACAUCAAAUCGUACCCCAAACCGACACAGGUGGUCAGGUAGAGAAUACCAAGGCGCUUGAGAGAACUCGGGUGAAGGAACUAGGCAAAAUGGUGCCGUAACUUCGGGAGAAGGCACGCUGAUACGUAGGUGAAGCGACUUGCUCGUGGAGCUGAAAUCAGUCGAAGAUACCAGCUGGCUGCAACUGUUUAUUAAAAACACAGCACUGUGCAAACACGAAAGUGGACGUAUACGGUGUGACGCCUGCCCGGUGCCGGAAGGUUAAUUGAUGGGGUUAGCGCAAGCGAAGCUCUUGAUCGAAGCCCCGGUAAACGGCGGCCGUAACUAUAACGGUCCUAAGGUAGCGAAAUUCCUUGUCGGGUAAGUUCCGACCUGCACGAAUGGCGUAAUGAUGGCCAGGCUGUCUCCACCCGAGACUCAGUGAAAUUGAACUCGCUGUGAAGAUGCAGUGUACCCGCGGCAAGACGGAAAGACCCCGUGAACCUUUACUAUAGCUUGACACUGAACAUUGAGCCUUGAUGUGUAGGAUAGGUGGGAGGCUUUGAAGUGUGGACGCCAGUCUGCAUGGAGCCGACCUUGAAAUACCACCCUUUAAUGUUUGAUGUUCUAACGUGGACCCGUGAUCCGGGUUGCGGACAGUGUCUGGUGGGUAGUUUGACUGGGGCGGUCUCCUCCUAAAGAGUAACGGAGGAGCACGAAGGUUGGCUAAUCCUGGUCGGACAUCAGGAGGUUAGUGCAAUGGCAUAAGCCAGCUUGACUGCGAGCGUGACGGCGCGAGCAGGUGCGAAAGCAGGUCAUAGUGAUCCGGUGGUUCUGAAUGGAAGGGCCAUCGCUCAACGGAUAAAAGGUACUCCGGGGAUAACAGGCUGAUACCGCCCAAGAGUUCAUAUCGACGGCGGUGUUUGGCACCUCGAUGUCGGCUCAUCACAUCCUGGGGCUGAAGUAGGUCCCAAGGGUAUGGCUGUUCGCCAUUUAAAGUGGUACGCGAGCUGGGUUUAGAACGUCGUGAGACAGUUCGGUCCCUAUCUGCCGUGGGCGCUGGAGAACUGAGGGGGGCUGCUCCUAGUACGAGAGGACCGGAGUGGACGCAUCACUGGUGUUCGGGUUGUCAUGCCAAUGGCACUGCCCGGUAGCUAAAUGCGGAAGAGAUAAGUGCUGAAAGCAUCUAAGCACGAAACUUGCCCCGAGAUGAGUUCUCCCUGACCCUUUAAGGGUCCUGAAGGAACGUUGAAGACGA